UAAUACGGUUUUGCUGAAUUUUCUCCACAAGAACUACAACUGUGGAUUCGUAUAUGUCCUUGGCGUGUACACCCUGUGGAAUCUGGUUCAUCUCCAAUCUGUCAGAAGGCAUCAGAGGUGGUUUUGACUCCGUAUGUCUUGGACCUGUGUACAAAAAGUACGGGCAGGAGAGGAUGCAGGAGACUGUACAAAGUUCAAGAAACGAUAUGCUUUAAUCAAGGGUGUGGGUGGCAGUGUCCGGAAGCCUGCCAGCCCUGAGUGUCACAAAAGUGCAGGAUGUGAAGAAACAGCAGGCAGAAAGGCUCUUUCCCCAACUCAGAAUUGCACUUGUGCCAAGAGCUACCCAAAGACUCUCAUGAAAAUAUUUCAGUAUCUCAGGCUUCCUAAGAAUCACAGGACAUCUCUCAUAAGACAGUUCUGUCACUUUUUCACCUUUACCUCUGGAACCUUGAAAGCGUCAGGCAGGGAAUUAUGCCAUCGCCUUCAUUAUUCUUGUCUCCUCUAAUUUGAUGGCUUCUGGUCACAACUAAACUUUUCUUGGUUAAUUAUAAAACAAGAAUUCGCACAAAUCAAUGGUGUAUUUAAUAUGAGUGAAUGGAAGAAGGGGUCUUCUCUACAGCUCAGCCACCCACCCAAAUGCUGUGUUUGAUUCUGGUUCUGUAAUCUGCUAUUUACAGUUAAGCCUGUGGAAAAGUAGCAAUUUAGGGGGUUUUCCUUCAUCUCACUCCCACUGUUCCCUUCCCUUUAUACACCUUUUCCCACUGGAGCAUAUUUAAAAGAAAUGCAAUAGCUUAAAAUAUGUUUGAGGAUAGGAGGGGUUUUUCAAUUGCUGGCCCUUUUUGUAGGCAUAUUGACUGUUAGCACCUUUUUGUUAUUUAUAAAGAGGAAGAAGACUGAGAAUCUUUCUGCCAUGAUAUUUCUCAAAGUGUGCCAAAUGGAUUACUACCUGCUUUAUUAAUCUAUAAGAGGACUCUAUUCUGAUAACUUUGGCAUAGUUCUAUAAAAAGGGAAACUACCUGUUUAGACUUGCUUGGAAGUUGUCUAGUAAUUACCAAUUCAAAUGUAAUGGGAUUGAAUAUAUUGCUUUGAAAAUAAGAGGUAAAAUCAUUUUUAAGUGUAUAUUUUUGGAAAGAUAACACCGUUUUGUAGUAUUUUAAUUUCAGUCGCACCAGUGUAACAGCUGAACAGCUAUUAGAGAAAUGUAUUAAUUAAAAACCGUUUGUGGAUCAAUUGUGUAUGAGAAUUUCUUAUUAGUUUUCUUAUGGACUUGUGCCUUUUUAAGAACUGUCAUUUUGUACAAAUUUUAAUUGAAGAUGUAUCUCUGGUUCUUUGUAACUUAUGAAAUUCAAUAUAUUCUCUCUUGCAGACAGCACCGAUGACUAUAUUAAUAUAGAAAGAACCAAGUUCAAGUGUCAAAAACAAGUUAAACCAUUGAUUUUAUUAGACAAUACCAAGUCCAACUAACAUUAAUGGAGCCCCUAGUCUAGCUAGACAUCAUGCUAUUAAAUGAUAUCACUUAUUUAACUUAUGAUCCUUCAAACUUAUUUAACUUAUGAUCCAUUCCAAAGUGAGGAAUAAUAUAGGUAUUCAUAUUCACAUUUUACAGAUAAAAAAUGUGAAAUCUGAACAAGUUAGAUGUUGACUCCAUGUCUAGUUAGUAACAGAGGUGGGAUUUGUAGCCAGAGUUCCGGAUGCCAAUGUGGAAGUUAAGAAGUGAUUUUGCUUUUAUUGGAUUGAUGACCUCAGUUUAACUCAUCUACCUCAAAAUCUGCAAAACUUUUCUGGAACUAUUAAAUGAGUCAACAUUCUUGUGAAUUAUUACACAUAUUUGGUGGAUGAGGGCAAAAUAUGAGAAAAUUACAUUCUUCUUUCUGAUAAGAAUAUUCCUCUAAGUAAAUAAUCAGCAUAUGCUUCCAUUUAAAUUAUUUUUAGGUGAUAAAAGGCAAUUAAAUAACCUGACUAUAAUUUUAUUAUGUCUUAGAUAGCCUUAGCUUUGUGCUGCUUAAAAUAAUGACUUUGAAACUCUUAAAAAUAAAUACAUUCUGUUCAUUAAUGCUAAAUGAUUUUUUUCAUUUCUGAAGUUUUUACUUUGAAAUAUUUCAAACCUAUCAAUAAACUAAAAACAUAUAUAAUGAACACUCAUAUGCCUCAUCUAAGUACACCAGAGGUUACCAAUUUCCUACAUUUCCAGUCUCUCUGUCUCUCUCUGUGUCCUUCUCACACACAGAGAUAUAUUUACUGAACCAUUUAGAACUCAGUUGCAGACAUCAUGAUAAUUCACCCCAAAUACUUCAACAUCUAUUUCUUCAAGACAAGGACAUUCUUCUUCAUAACUUUAAUGCUGUUGUUACACCCAAAGUAUAAACUACUGAUGUAAGAAAAAUACCCGAUAUCAGUCCAUAUUAAAAUUUUUCCAUUAUGACAUUCAUAUUUCUUAUAGUUGUUUCACUUUUCAACUGAUGAUUCAAUCAAGGAUUAUUCGAUACCCUUAGUUGCCUUGUCUUUAAUAUAGAAUAGUCCCUCUCUUGUCUCAUGAAUUUGAAAUUUUGAAAAGUCCAGGCCAGUGUUUUUUUGUUUGUUUGUUUGUUUUUGUUUUUACAAUGUCCCACUGAUUAUUUCUGUAUUUUUUAGAAUCAGUUUAAAUAGUUUUUGUCAAGAAUAAUAAAUAGAUGAUCUUGUGUCCUUCUCAGUGUAUCUCAUUAAUAAUAUUGACUUGUUCCAUUAUUAGUGAUGCUUUAUUGUUUAUUUGAUUAAAGCGAUGUCUCUGAGAUGCUUUCAUUGUAAAAGGUAAACUGUUUUCUUGCAGUUGAUAGAUAACUGUGGUUAAUGUUUUAGGAAUCUAUACAAAUCUUGCUCUCAAAAAAUUGAUUUAGUAUUUUUU
Long non-coding RNA from Macaca mulatta (Rhesus monkey), 2881 nucleotides. The record is from Ensembl. NCBI's taxonomy places the organism in Eukaryota, Metazoa, Chordata, Mammalia, Primates, Cercopithecidae.